This 524-nucleotide ribosomal RNA is filed under the name uncultured bacterium. Its description in RNAcentral is "partial 16S ribosomal RNA". It matches the Rfam family "Bacterial small subunit ribosomal RNA", at positions 28 to 523 of the family's 1533-position model. The record is from RNAcentral.
GACGAACGCUGGCGGCGUGCCUAAUACAUGCAAGUCGAGCGCAGGAAACUGACUGAACUCUUCGGAGGGAAGGCAGUGGAAUGAGCGGCGGACGGGUGAGUAACACGUAAGGAACCUGCCUCAAGGAUUGGGAUAACUCCGAGAAAUCGGAGCUAAUACCGGAUAGUUCUACGGACCGCAUGGUCCGCUGAUGAAAGGCGCUUCGGCGUCACCUUGAGAUGGCCUUGCGGUGCAUUAGCUAGUUGGUGGGGUAACGGCCCACCAAGGCGACGACGCAUAGCCGACCUGAGAGGGUGGUCGGCCACACUGGGACUGAGACACGGCCCAGACUCCUACGGGAGGCAGCAGUAGGGAAUCUUCCACAAUGGACGAAAGUCUGAUGGAGCAGCGCCGCGUGAGUGAUGAAGGUUUUCGGAUCGUAAAACUCUGUUGUAAGGGAAGAACAUGUACGAGAGGGAAUGCUCGUACCUUGACGGUACCUUACGAGAAAGCCACGGCUAACUACGUGCCAGCCGCCGCCGUAA